AGCAGCCGCGGUAAUUCCAGCUCCAAUAGCGUAUAUUAAAGUUGUUGCAGUUAAAAAGCUCGUAGUUGAAUUUCGGGAUCAGUAGGUUGGUCAUGCCUCUGGUAUGUACUGGUCUCACUGGUUCCUCCUUCCUGAUGAACCGUAAUGCCAUUAAUUUGGUGUUGCGGGGAAACUGGACUGUUACUUUGAAAAAUUAGAGUGUUUAAAGCAGGCUAACGCUUGAAUACAUUAGCAUGGAAUAAUGAAAUAGGACGAUCGAUCCUAUUUUGUUGGUUUCUAGGAUUGACGUAAUGAUUAAUAGGGAUAGUUGGGGGCAUUAGUAUUC
This 325-nucleotide ribosomal RNA is filed under the name uncultured Glomeromycotina. RNAcentral's name for it is "SSU rRNA". It matches the Rfam family "Eukaryotic small subunit ribosomal RNA", at positions 569 to 899 of the family's 1831-position model. The record is from RNAcentral. Lineage: Eukaryota; Fungi; Glomeromycota.